GGAUAAGCCUUGCACAUCAACAACAAGCUACAGAUUUUCACUGGGGUUACAACUUCCCCUUAGCUUGACAUAACAACAAUUAACUCUACAUUCCAGAAGAAAUAAUCAAAUAAACACACAGCAUAUAUAGUAGUAUCUCUCUAAGAAGAGCCUGUUGAACUUUUCCUACCUUUACCAAGAGCACCUCCACCAGCACCGCCACUAUAACCAGAGCCUGAACCACCUCCAAAGCCAGAGCCACUGCCUCCACCUGUACCGCCUCCGCCACCUCCACCACCACCUUGUCCACCAAAGCUUCCUCCACUGGCCUCCCUGCCAGAGCCACUGCCAAACCCAUACCCGGAACCAGAACCACUUCCACUCCUACUUCCACCCCCACCACCUCCUUCUCCUCCACCGCCACCUCCAGCACUAACGCUUCCACCUGCCGAAGGUGACUGUGAAGGAGAAUAUUGUGGAAGAGAACGUGGAGGAGGGCUUAGAGCUUGGACACAGAGAGCAAAGCUGAUAAGUAGAAGAAAUGCUGAGCAGACCAAAAAAGGACGAGCCA
Molecule: unclassified non-coding RNA, 550 nt
Filed under: Hevea brasiliensis (rubber tree)
Lineage: Eukaryota; Viridiplantae; Streptophyta; Magnoliopsida; Malpighiales; Euphorbiaceae
Source: RNAcentral